GAUGAACGCUGGCGGCGUGCCUAAUACAUGCAAGUCGAGCGAACAGAUGAGGAGCUUGCUCCUCUGACGUUAGCGGCGGACGGGUGAGUAACACGUGGAUAACCUACCUAUAAGACUGGGAUAACUUCGGGAAACCGGAGCUAAUACCGGAUAAUAUAUUGAACCGCAUGGUUCAAUAGUGAAAGACGGUUUUGCUGUCACUUAUAGAUGGAUCCGCGCCGCAUUAGCUAGUUGGUAAGGUAACGGCUUACCAAGGCAACGAUGCGUAGCCGACCUGAGGGGUGAUCGGCCACACUGGAACUGAGACACGGUCCAGACUCCUACGGGAGGCAGCAGUAGGGAAUCUUCCGCAAUGGGCGAAAGCCUGACGGAGCAACGCCGCGUGAGUGAUGAAGGUCUUCGGAUCGUAAAACUCUGUUAUUAGGGAAGAACAAAUGUGUAAGUAACUAUGCACGUCUUGACGGUACCUAAUCAGAAAGCCACGGCUAACUACGUG
This 496-nucleotide ribosomal RNA is filed under the name uncultured bacterium. RNAcentral's name for it is "partial 16S ribosomal RNA". It matches the Rfam family "Bacterial small subunit ribosomal RNA", at positions 28 to 507 of the family's 1533-position model. The record is from RNAcentral.